Molecule: ribosomal RNA, 271 nt
Filed under: uncultured bacterium
Lineage: Bacteria
Description: partial 16S ribosomal RNA
Rfam family: Bacterial small subunit ribosomal RNA
Source: RNAcentral
UACGUAGGGGGCGAGCGUUGUCCGGAAUUAUUGGGCGUAAAGAGCGUGUAGGCGGUUUGGUAAGUCUGCCGUGAAAACCCGGGGCUCAACCCCGGGCGUGCGGUGGAUACUGCCAGACUAGAGGAUGGUAGAGGCGAGUGGAAUUCCCGGUGUAGUGGUGAAAUGCGCAGAUAUCGGGAGGAACACCAGUAGCGAAGGCGGCUCGCUGGGCCAUUCCUGACGCUGAGACGCGAAAGCUAGGGGAGCGAACAGGAUUAGAACCUCCGAGUCC